AGUUAGUCUAAAGUUGCAGAGAAGCUUAGACGUACACAUUGAAGCUGUGAAAAUAUUUAUCGUCCGAAUCGAGAUUUGUUGCAAAAAACAAUUACAAGUCAUGGAAAAACAUUCAGCAAUGGAUAUUCCAAGAAAUACUGAUGCCAGCAGGCCAACACAAAAGCAUAAAAAAACUCGUAAUAACAAACAAACCAAAGAGGUUGUGAGAAAACUCAAGUGUGAAAAGAAGAAGCAGAAGAAAAGACUGAGACUCCAGGAAACACUUGAGUCUCCAGAGCCUGCACCUACACAGACAUCUACCAGCACCCAGGACAACACCCCAGUGAGAGGACUGAAGAGAAAACGACAGGAAGACAAACAGGAAGAAGAAAUCAUUGAGCCAAAGAAGAGAAGGGUUUGUCUAAAAGCCCAUCAAAGCAGCAAAACCUUUUCUGAUCACCAAACCAGAUCAGUUAAGAGAAAGGCCAAGCCGGAACCGAAGAAAAAAAAUAAAAAAGUCAAACACUGUAAACCAACCGAGUCUCCAGAAACUGACAUCAGUCAGGACAACACCCCAGUGAGAGGACUAAAGAGGAAACGACUGGAAGACGAGGAGGAAGAAGAAAUCCUUGAGCCAAAGAAGAGGAAAACUGGUCUAAAAGCUCAUCAAAGCAGCAAAACCAUUUUUGAUGACCAAACCAGAUCAGUUGAGAGAAAGCCCAAACCGGAACCGAAGAAAAAAAAUAAAAAAGUCAAACACUGUAAACCAACCGAGUCUCCAGAAACUGACAUCAGUCAGAAGAACACCCCAGUGAGAGGACUAAAGAGGAAACGACUGGAAGACGAGGAGGAAGAAGCAACAGAGGAAUCAAAGAUAAUGAAGCUGUCUUUUAAGAGUUUCCACGAAUUGAGGGAUUUAUACAAUAAAAUGGGAACAAACAAAACAAGUGGACCGGAAAAGACCGUUUUAAAUAGUUCAGAAAAUGAAAACGAAUCAAACCAAGAAAUCCCAGAAAACACAAACAAAAUGACGGAGAGAGACAACGUGAUCGACCAAAAAGGUUAGAUGAUUUCAUAUACAUUUUCUUUUGAUUAUAUAGUUGAUUUGUGUAUAAAAUUUUCAGAAACAAAUGAACUAAUAUUACAAUUCUGUUUGCUUUUU
Oryzias javanicus (javanese ricefish) is the source of this 1141-nucleotide long non-coding RNA. Lineage: Eukaryota; Metazoa; Chordata; Actinopteri; Beloniformes; Adrianichthyidae. The record is from Ensembl.